AACGAACGCUGGCGGCAUGCCUAACACAUGCAAGUCGAACGAGACCUUCGAGUCUAGUGGCGCACGGGUGCGUAACGCGUGGGAACCUGCCCUUAGGUUCGGAUUAACUCCCCGAAAGGGGUGCUAAUACCGGAUAAUGUCUUCGGACCAAAGAUUUAUCGCCUUUGGAUGGGCCCGCGUUGGAUUAGCUAGUUGGUAGGGUAAAAGCCUACCAAGGCGACGAUCCAUAGCUGGUCUGAGAGGAUGAUCAGCCACACUGGGACUGAGACACGGCCCAGACUCCUACGGGAGGCAGCAGUGGGGAAUAUUGGACAAUGGGCGAAAGCCUGAUCCAGCAAUGCCGCGUGAGUGAUGAAGGCCUUAGGGUUGUAAAGCUCUUUUACCCGGGAUGAUAAUGACAGUACCGGGAGAAUAAGCUCCGGCUAACUCCGUG
This 433-nucleotide ribosomal RNA is filed under the name uncultured bacterium. Its description in RNAcentral is "partial 16S ribosomal RNA". It matches the Rfam family "Bacterial small subunit ribosomal RNA", at positions 29 to 507 of the family's 1533-position model. The record is from RNAcentral.